RNAcentral lists this ribosomal RNA (352 nucleotides) under uncultured bacterium. RNAcentral describes it as "bacterial SSU rRNA". It matches the Rfam family "Bacterial small subunit ribosomal RNA", at positions 527 to 881 of the family's 1533-position model. The record is from RNAcentral.
GUAGGGGGCAAGCGUUAUCCGGAUUUACUGGGUGUAAAGGGAGCGUAGACGGCGCNGCAAGUCUGAUGUGAAAGNCAGGGGCUUAACCCCUGGACUGCAUUNGAAACUGNUGUGCUUGAGUGCCGGAGNGGNAAGCGGAAUUCCUAGUGUAGCGGUGAAAUGCGUAGAUAUUAGGAGGAACACCAGUGGCGAAGGCGGCUUACUGGACGGUAACUGACGUUGAGGCUCGAAAGCGUGGGGAGCAAACAGGAUUAGAUACCCUGGUAGUCCACNCCGUAAACGAUGGAUGCCCGCUGUUGGUCUGAAUAGGUCAGCGGCCAAGCGAAAGCAUUAAGCAUCCCACCUGGGGAGU